Molecule: ribosomal RNA, 461 nt
Filed under: uncultured Bdellovibrionales bacterium
Lineage: Bacteria; Pseudomonadati; Bdellovibrionota; Bdellovibrionia; Bdellovibrionales
Description: bacterial SSU rRNA
Rfam family: Bacterial small subunit ribosomal RNA
Source: RNAcentral
AAUUGACGGGGCCCGCACAAGCGGUGAGCAUGUGGUUUAAUUCGAUGCAACGCGAAGAACCUUACCUGGGCUUGACAUCCCGGGAAUCCCUUGGAAACAAGGGAGUGCCCUUCGGGGAACCUGGAGACAGGUGCUGCAUGGCUGUCGUCAGCUCGUGUCGUGAGAUGUUCGGUUAAGUCCGCUAACGAGCGCAACCCUCGCUGUGUGUUACAAGUGUCACACGGUACUGCCGAUAUUAAGUCGGAGGAAGGUGGGGAUGACGUCAAGUCAGCAUGACCUUUAUAUCCAGGGCUACACGCACGCUACAAUGGCCAGUACAAUGGGUUGCCAAGCCGCGAGGCGGGGCCAAUCCUAAAAAGCUGGCCUCAGUUCAGAUUGCAGUCUGCAACUCGACUGCAUGAAGUUGGAGUUGCUAGUAACCGCAGGUCAGCAAUACUGCGGUGAAUACGUUCCCGGGGAUU